This 1479-nucleotide ribosomal RNA is filed under the name Triticum aestivum (bread wheat). RNAcentral's name for it is "partial small subunit ribosomal RNA". Lineage: Eukaryota; Viridiplantae; Streptophyta; Magnoliopsida; Poales; Poaceae. The record is from RNAcentral.
AUGGCGGAGCGUCUUGCUGCUGUGCCGGAGUUGAGCACGGCCAGCUUCACGGUUCCGUCCCCGCCGCGCGGCUUGUACCGCGAUUUGGUCCGGAGCGUUGUUGUCUCUGGUGGGCUGGUAAGACCGUCUCCCUACUCCCAGUCUGGCCAUAGUGGGUCAUCAGGAAACUCCACUGCCUCAAGUUCCUGCCUGACCAACUCCGGCAUCUCCUCUCGUUCAGCCUGCGAUGCCACAACUGAUUUCGGAGCGAACGAGCUCACGGUGAUCACUCACCGGAUGUUCAGCGAUGGGUACAUCGAGCGCAUGGUCCAAGCGUUCGAAUCCGGCGGCGACCCGAGCCGUGAGCUAGAGAAGUGGCUAUUCGAGCUCGACGUGGAAUGGGUUCUCCAAGUACGCGAGGGCCAUGGCCCACGGCGGCAGCUCCAGUUCCUUUUCCAGGUCCAGCUCCCAUACAAGUCGGCAUCGUGGCUCCAAGAAUUGGUCGGGAGGUGGAUUCUAGCUUUCAUUAUAAUUCUUGUCAGCAUAAAAAAGGUGGCCUUCACCGUCCAGGACACACCGGCUGUCGCACGGUUUGGCAAAGCGAGCAUCUCGGCGAUGCUUGUCUUUGUGGACGCUAUCAUCCCAGUUCUCAAGGAGGGCAAGUUACAGGCCAUGCUAGACAUGUAUGCCUGCGUCUCCCCCCGUGCACCGUACUACUUUACGACCCUCGUGGGCUCACCAGAAGCACACAUCAUUUUCAAUGAGAUAGACGGCUUGUUGGAGAUACGAGGGAACAUGCUAAGCGAGGCCAUAUCCAACACAAUGGAGGAGGUGAGGACACUCAUGGAGGACAACGACUCGUGGGCUAUUGAGCUCCCGAGAGGAGGAGGCGAUGUUCACCGGAAUACCCGGUGCAUGGUGGAUUACAUCGUGUCGAUGAAGAAAGCGCGCGCAUCCACGCAGAACUCUGCACCGAGGCACGACCCCGUGUAUCUUGAUGGGCUGAUAGAUGACACGAUGGAUUAUCUGAAGGAUCUGCUUCUGAGAAAAUCGGAACUGUUCUUGGAUCCAAGCCUCAGGUACCUGUUCCUGCUCAACAAUUCCUAUUUCAUAGCGCAAGUGGUGUCUGGGCCAUCGGCUGAAUGUGAAAAGUACAUGGAUAGCCAUCUCGAUGUUUCUUGGGGAAAUGCGGUGUCCAGCCUAUGCUGCAAACCGAAAUCCAUUUUUGGUACCACAGUGCUCUGCUGUUGGAAGUGGGACAACACCUCUUCAGUAGCUAAAUUCCAGUCAGCGUUUCACAAAACGUACCAGGCUCAACAAUUCUGGAAGGUCCCAGACCCUCAGCUCCGAUGCGCGCUGCGAAAAAACAUCACCAAGAGGAUCGUUUCAGCUUACCGCAACUACCUGGAGGAGCAUCCGGAGCAACAGAAAUAUGUUAUUGACGGAAACAGCAGUCCAGAAUGUUUGGAGGAGUUGCUGACAGAGCUAUUUGAAGGAUGA